UGAUAAUUAGUUUAAUAUAAAAUAAGUGAUUUCGACUCAUUAGAUUAUGAUUACAUUUCAUAAUUAUCAU
Molecule: transfer RNA, 70 nt
Filed under: Ia io (Great evening bat)
Lineage: Eukaryota; Metazoa; Chordata; Mammalia; Chiroptera; Vespertilionidae
Description: tRNA-Arg
Rfam family: tRNA
About the family: Transfer RNA (tRNA) molecules are approximately 80 nucleotides in length. Their secondary structure includes four short double-helical elements and three loops (D, anti-codon, and T loops). Further hydrogen bonds mediate the characteristic L-shaped molecular structure. tRNAs have two regions of fundamental functional importance: the anti-codon, which is responsible for specific mRNA codon recognition, and the 3' end, to which the tRNAs corresponding amino acid is attached (by aminoacyl-tRNA synthetases). tRNAs cope with the degeneracy of the genetic code in two manners: having more than one tRNA (with a specific anti-codon) for a particular amino acid; and 'wobble' base-pairing, i.e. permitting non-standard base-pairing at the 3rd anti-codon position.
Source: RNAcentral